ACCCCUGUUUUUGGUCCCAAGGCUCGCUU
Molecule: small nuclear RNA, 29 nt
Filed under: Arabidopsis thaliana (thale cress)
Lineage: Eukaryota; Viridiplantae; Streptophyta; Magnoliopsida; Brassicales; Brassicaceae
Description: snRNA_04573
Source: RNAcentral